CAUUGUGGUUUAAUUUCGAUUGAUACGCGAGGAACCUUUACCUGGGCUUAAAUGGGAGUGACAGCUGUCGAAAGAUGGUUUUCUUCGGACACUCUUCAAGGUGCUGCAUGGUUGUCGUCAGCUCGUGCCGUGAGGUGUCGGGUUAAGUCCCAUAACGAGCGCAACCCUUACCGUUAGUUACCAUCAGGUUAAGCUGGGGACUCUAGCGGGACUGCCACCGUAAGGUGAGAGGAAGUGGGGAUGACGUCAAAUCAGCACGGCCCUUAUGUCCAGGGCUACACACGUGUUACAAUGGCCAGUACAAAGGGCAGCUACCGGGUGACCGGAUGCUAAUCUCUAAAGCUGGUCUCAGUUCGGAUCGAAGUCUGCAACCCGACUUCGUGAAGCUGGAUUCGCUAGUAAUCGCGCAUCAGCCAUGGCGCGGCGAAUACGUUCCCGGGCCUU
RNAcentral lists this ribosomal RNA (444 nucleotides) under uncultured Sphingobacteriales bacterium. RNAcentral's name for it is "bacterial SSU rRNA". It matches the Rfam family "Bacterial small subunit ribosomal RNA", at positions 938 to 1382 of the family's 1533-position model. Lineage: Bacteria; Pseudomonadati; Bacteroidota; Sphingobacteriia; Sphingobacteriales. The record is from RNAcentral.